AGACACGUCUUCUGAUUAAACUAAUACAGUUGAUGAAUUAACAGAAAAUCCAGUAUGUACUGAGUACAUAAGAGAUCGAACAGAAGCUAGAGA
RNAcentral lists this small nuclear RNA (93 nucleotides) under Staphylococcus aureus. RNAcentral's name for it is "SAUSA300s266". The record is from RNAcentral. Lineage: Bacteria; Bacillati; Bacillota; Bacilli; Caryophanales; Staphylococcaceae.